GAUGAACGCUGGCGGCGUGCCUAAUACAUGCAAGUCGAGCGAACAGACGAGGAGCUUUCUCCUCUGACGUUAGCGGCGGACGGGUGAGUAACACGUUGAUCACCUACCUAUUUUACUGGGAUAACUGCGGAAAGCCGGUGAUACUACCGGAUAAUAUAUUCAACCGCAUGGUUCAAUAGUGAUUGACGCUUUUGCUGUUACUUUUAGAUGGUUUCGCGUCGCAUUAGCUAGUUGGUAAGGUAACGGCUUACCAAGGCAACGAUGCGUAGCCGACCUGAGAGGGUGAUCGGCCACACUGGAACUGAGACACGGUCCAGACUCCUACGGGAGGCAGCAGUAGGGAAUCUUCGGCAAAGGGCGAAAGCCUGACAGAGCAACGCCGCGUGAGUGAUGAAGGUCUUCGGAUCGUAAAGCUCUGUUAUUAGGGAAGAACAGAUGUGUAAGUAAACAUGGACGUCUUGACGGUACCUAAUCAGAAAGCAACGGCUAACUACGUG
RNAcentral lists this ribosomal RNA (497 nucleotides) under uncultured bacterium. RNAcentral describes it as "partial 16S ribosomal RNA". It matches the Rfam family "Bacterial small subunit ribosomal RNA", at positions 28 to 507 of the family's 1533-position model. The record is from RNAcentral.